AUUUCAUACAUUAUGUUUCUUACCAAAAUCUACAAUGGUGGAAUCUAUUCUCUGUAAACUUUCAAGCAAAGCAAAGUAAGCAGUUGGUCUAGAAUUCCCACUCCUGAACCCCUUGCCUGUCAGGCCUCUGAGCCCAAGCUAAGCCAUCAUAUCCCCUGUGACCAGCAUGUGUACAUCCAGAUGUCCUGAAGCAACUGAAGAUCCACAAAAGAAGUGAAAAUAGCCUUAACUGAUGACAUUCCACCAUUGUGAUUUGUUCCUGACCCCCCCUAACUGAUACGAUAUAUUCUUCCCCGCCCUUAAGAAGGUGACAUCUGAGCAGUAACCAUAGUGAUAUGGGGGAAAGAACCACGUGGAUUUUGAGGCAUAUUUGGGGAACAUAGGAGGGUUUUGGCUGGGGAGAUUACAACUCAUAUUUUAAAGGAAUCAUCUGAUUGCUGUAAGAAGGGUCUACUGGGGCUGGAGACAAGAAUAUAAACAGUUUGGAAUCAAUUGCCAUAAUCAAGGUGAUAGAUUUUGGUGACCUUGCUUCAGAGUUGCAGUUCUGGAGUUAUGAUGGAAUAACUGGAAUUAGACUUGCCCUUCUGAAGUAAACAACUAGAAAGCUGUACAACAGUCAUAAGUCAACUGUUUUCAAGCAUUGGAUAAAACAACACUGUCGUCUUUGCGGGAAGAAAAACACAUGAGGAAGUCAGGGACCCCAAACGGAGGGACUGGUUGAAGCCAUGGCAGAAGAACGUGGAUUGUGAAGAUUUCAUGGACAUUUAUUAGUUCCCCAAAUUAAUACUUUUAUAAUUUCUUAUGCCUAUCUUUACUGCAGUCUCUAAACAUAAAUUGUAAAGAUUUCACGGACACUUAUCACUUCCCCAAUCAAUUCCCUUGUGAUUUCCUAUGCCUGUCUUUACUUUAAUCUCUUAAUCCUGCCAGCUGAGGAGGAUGUGUAUCACCUCAGGACCCUGUAAUAAUUGCACAAAUUAUACAGCUUGUGUGUUUGAACAAUAUGAAAUGUGUGCACCUUGAAAAAAGAACAGGAUAACAGCAAUUGUUCAGGGAAUAAGAGAGAUAACCUUAAACUCUGACCGCCGGUAAGCUGGGCAGAACAGAGCCGUAUUUCUCUUCUUUCAAAAGCAAAUGGGAGAAAUAUCACUGAAUUCUUUUUCUCAGCAUGGAACAUUCCUGAGAAAGAGAAUGCGCACCUGGGGGUAGGUGUCUGAACUGGCCCCCCUGGGCGUGGUUGUCUCUUACGGUCGAGACUGCAGAGGUGAAAUAGACUCCAGUCUCCCAUAGCGCUCCCAGGCUUAUUAGGAAGAGGAAAUUCCCACCUAAUAAAUUUUUGUCAGACUGGUUGAUCUCAAAACUCUGCCUCCUGAUAAGAUGUUAUCAAUGAUAAUGGUGCCCGAAACUUCAUUAGCAAUUUUAAUUUCACCCCGGUCCUGUGGUCCUGUGAUCUCACCCUGCCUCCACUUUCCUUGUGAUAUUCUAUUACCUUGUAAAGUACUUGAUGUCUGUGACCCACACCUAUUCGCUCACUCCCUCCCCUUUUGAAAAUACCUAAUAAAACCUUGCUGGCUUUUGGGGCAUCAUGGAACCUACCGACAUGUGAUGUCUCCCCCAGAUGCCCGGCUUUAAAAUUUCUCUCUUUUGUACUCUGUCCCUUUAUUUCUCAAGCUGGCUGAUGCUUAGGGAAAAUAGAAAAGAACCUAUGUGAAUAUCAGGGCAGGUUCCUCAAUAAUCUACUAUUGAGAGAGGGGUUGGUAAAGACUGAAGUGCAAGAGAUGGUGGCAGUUUUUGGUCUACUUUUCUACCCUUUUCUUGGGCAUUAACCAUAUGACAGUGGAAGGAUUAAAAAAAACAUUUUAUCAUACCUUAGAAGCAACAUGGAAGUAGGUAUUUUCUGAGCAACAAGAAAACUCAGAGUGUCUACUGUUUACUGUACUCUGAGUCCAGACCAUGGUGAAAGCCAUUUUCAACUGUUACGUCUCCAAUCAGCAAUGGAAAUAGAGGGACGCAAGUGACUGAAUACGGAGCAGAGUGCUGAGUGUCAGAAGAGGUGAGACCUUCAAUGGGACAGAAAAUAAUUUAAGUGGGCUGAGAGUUAAUAUGGGAAAGACAAGAAGGUCCAACAAAGAAAGGGAUUUUGCUUACCGGGGAGUGAUAGCCAAGUAGAUUUCGAAGGUUAAAUGAGAUAAUUUAGGUCAUAAGUUCUCUGGAGAAAAUGAGUCUGAUGGGGAU
This is a long non-coding RNA of Gorilla gorilla gorilla (western lowland gorilla), 2232 nucleotides long. RefSeq lists it as uncharacterized. The transcript has 5 exons. The record is from RefSeq and is a predicted model, not a curated record. NCBI's taxonomy places the organism in Eukaryota, Metazoa, Chordata, Mammalia, Primates, Hominidae.